AUUGAACGCUAGCGGCAGGCCUAACACAUGCAAGUCGAACGAGUGGCGGACGGGUGAGUAAUAUAUGGGAACGUGCCCGAUGGAGGGGGAUAACUACUGGAAACAGUGGCUAAUACCGCAUACUAUCGGAUCUGCCCAGAUGGGAUGAGCUAGUAGGUGGGGUAACGGCUAACCUAGGCGACGAUCCCUAGCUGGUCUGAGAGGAUGACCAGCCACACGGGGACGGAGACACGGCCCAGACUCCUACGGGAGGCAGCAGUGGGGAAUAUUGGACAAUGGGGGAAAACCUGAUGCAGCCAUGCCGCGUGUAUGAAGAAGGCCUUCGGGUUGUAAAGUACUUUUGGCAGGGAGGCGUUACCCGCAGAAUAAGCACCGGCUAACUACGUGCCAGCAGCCGCGGUAAUAC
RNAcentral lists this ribosomal RNA (406 nucleotides) under uncultured bacterium. RNAcentral describes it as "partial 16S ribosomal RNA". It matches the Rfam family "Bacterial small subunit ribosomal RNA", at positions 30 to 526 of the family's 1533-position model. The record is from RNAcentral.